GAGUAGCUAUGAUCGGACAGGAUAACCGCUGAAGGCAUCUAAGCGGGAAGCCCCCCCAGAAACAAGGUCUCCCUUGAGGGCCGUGGAAGACCACCACGUCGAUAGGUCGGAGAUGUAAGUGCUGUAAAGCAUUCAGUUGACCGAUACUAAUUGCCCGAUAGGCUUGAUUUG
RNAcentral lists this ribosomal RNA (171 nucleotides) under Amylibacter sp. Its description in RNAcentral is "partial 23S ribosomal RNA". It matches the Rfam family "Bacterial large subunit ribosomal RNA", at positions 2743 to 2925 of the family's 2925-position model. Lineage: Bacteria; Pseudomonadati; Pseudomonadota; Alphaproteobacteria; Rhodobacterales; Paracoccaceae. The record is from RNAcentral.